GGGUAUAGCUCAAUUGGUAGAGUUACGGUCUCCAAAACCGUCGGUUGUGGGUUCAAGUCCUACUGCCC
Molecule: transfer RNA, 68 nt
Filed under: Veillonella montpellierensis
Lineage: Bacteria; Bacillati; Bacillota; Negativicutes; Veillonellales; Veillonellaceae
Also listed under: 1 other name
Rfam family: tRNA
About the family: Transfer RNA (tRNA) molecules are approximately 80 nucleotides in length. Their secondary structure includes four short double-helical elements and three loops (D, anti-codon, and T loops).
Source: RNAcentral